AGCGAACGCUGGCGGCAGGCCUAACACAUGCAAGUCGAACGAACCUUUCGGGGUUAGUGGCGGACGGGUGAGUAACACGUGGGAACGUGCCUUUAGGUUCGGAAUAACUCAGGGAAACUUGUGCUAAUACCGAAUGUGCCCUUCGGGGGAAAGAUUAAUCGCCUUUAGAUCGGCCCGCGUCUGAUUAGCUAGUUGGUUGAGGUAAUGGCUCACCAAGGCGACGAUCAGUAGCUGGUCUGAGAGGAUGAUCAGCCACCUUGGGACUGAGACACGGCCCCAACUGCUACGGGAGGCAGCAGUGGGGAAUCAUGCGCAAUGGGCGAAAGCCUGACGAUACCAUGCCUCGUGAAUGAUGAAGGUCUUAGGAUUAUGAAAUUCUUUCACCGGGGGCGAUAAUGACGGUACCCGGAGAAGAAGCCCCGGCUAACUUCGUG
Molecule: ribosomal RNA, 434 nt
Filed under: uncultured bacterium
Lineage: Bacteria
Description: partial 16S ribosomal RNA
Rfam family: Bacterial small subunit ribosomal RNA
Source: RNAcentral